Non-coding RNA from Podarcis lilfordi (Lilford's wall lizard), 105 nucleotides. The record is from the annotation of a GenBank genome assembly. Lineage: Eukaryota; Metazoa; Chordata; Lepidosauria; Squamata; Lacertidae.
GGUUCCCAGCUGCUGUUGGACUACAAUUCCCAUCACCCCUAGCUAGCAGGACCAGUGGUCAGGGAUGAUGGGAGUUGUAGUCCAACAACAGCUUGGGGAGACCCA